Molecule: long non-coding RNA, 886 nt
Filed under: Anas platyrhynchos platyrhynchos (common mallard)
Lineage: Eukaryota; Metazoa; Chordata; Aves; Anseriformes; Anatidae
Description: lncRNA (ENSAPLG00000023040.1)
Source: RNAcentral
AUGAACUGUCUGGUAAUAUGCAAAGGAGGCUCUAAGGUAAAUUUGGUAUUCUCUCUCUCUUUCUUUUCCACAGCUGGAGUGAAUGCUGCUUCAUCUGGUUGCUUCAUAGCAGUUUUUGCUGCUGCUGCUGUCAUUUUACACGGGAAAAUGAGCUCUGCAACAACUGCUGACUUUGAAGAGAGCUCUGCACGGUGUGGAUGUGAGACGACACCUUUCUCAAAGCAAAGAACUGCCCCUGUGAACUGCCCGAGGACCUGUGUGCUGUGUAAAAGCAUCAUAAACUGCCUAUGACCAAGUUCGGCCUUAGUGAUGACGUCGAGCUGCUUUUCCUUACCUGUUUCUCAGCUCAGAAGGUGAACUCGUUGCUCCCUCUUGUGGUAUUUGUAAAAAUGUGAAAAAAGUUUGGGAAAAAAACUGCCUAUAAUGCUGAGAAAGUUAAGAGUAUGUUUUCCUCAUCAUCUUGUGAUGAGUUAAAUGAGAACUUUGACAUCAGCUCAAAUGGCAUGAAAGUAAAAGAUUUUACGAGAUCAGAACACAGCUCUUAGCAAACAUAUAUUUUUUUAAAUCUGUAUUGUAGCAUUCAAACAGCCAGGGAAGCCAGGGAAAGCAGAAGGAUGAAAUACAGUUACAUAUAUGCUCUGAUCUUUUAUUUUUAUUUUUUAUUUUUUUAUAUGCAGGGGAAGGAACAGCUUAGGGCUAUUUGUCUAAUGCUGCCUAAAAUUGUUUGUGGUACCUUUAUGCCAUUUGGUAUAUUUUUCCAUCUUGUAUUGUUGAGUGUUCUGCAGGUCUGCGAUUCACAAGCAGAAAAUGCCUCCCUUCUGUGCCUUAUUAGCUUUCUUGACCUUAGAGCGUACAAAGCACUUAGAGGUCCAUAGAUCCUUCGCCA